CCCCGGGUGGCGUGCGGGCGCGCCGGGACCCUCGGCAAGGGUACGGGGGCGGGCGCUCCGCCCCGACCGCCUUCGGACGGCGUACGGGGC
This 90-nucleotide transfer RNA is filed under the name Streptomyces cavourensis. Its description in RNAcentral is "tRNA-Ala". The record is from RNAcentral. Lineage: Bacteria; Bacillati; Actinomycetota; Actinomycetes; Kitasatosporales; Streptomycetaceae.